UGGGGCAUAUUGCGCAAUGGGGGAAACCCUGACGCAGCGACGCCGCGUGCGGGAUGAAGGCCUUCGGGUUGUACACCGCUUUCAGCAGGGACGAGGCCGCAAGGUGACGGUACCUGCAGAAGAAGCCCCGGCUAACUACGUGCCAGCAGCCGCGGUAAUACGUAGGGGGCAAGCGUUAUCCGGAUUCAUUGGGCGUAAAGCGCGCGUAGGCGGUUUGUUAGGUCAGGAGUUAAAUCUGGGGGCUCAACCCCUAUCCGCUCCUGAUACCGGCAGGCUUGGAGCUGGUAGGGGAAGGGGGAAUUCCAAGUGGAGCGGGGGAAUGCGCAGAUAUGUGGAAGAAAACCGGUGGCGAAGGCGGCCGUCCGGGCCAAGACUGACGCUGAGGCGCGAAAGCGAGGGGAGCGAACAGG
RNAcentral lists this ribosomal RNA (410 nucleotides) under Verrucomicrobiota bacterium. RNAcentral's name for it is "Verrucomicrobia bacterium partial 16S ribosomal RNA". It matches the Rfam family "Bacterial small subunit ribosomal RNA", at positions 355 to 776 of the family's 1533-position model. The record is from RNAcentral. Lineage: Bacteria; Pseudomonadati; Verrucomicrobiota.